Molecule: long non-coding RNA, 1405 nt
Organism: Tigriopus californicus
Lineage: Eukaryota; Metazoa; Arthropoda; Copepoda; Harpacticoida; Harpacticidae
Exons: 3
Source: RefSeq, a predicted model, not a curated record
CGAGAGGCCGACUUUCGACUCGAUCAACAAAUACCUCAAAGUAAUGGCGUACGGAAUACUAUCAAUGUAAGUGGGGAUUUCGCGUAAAUAGUGAGUGUUCGGAGAUUUCAAAGGUCCUGCACCCCCCAAGAAAGACCUGACUGGCUUCUGCCGCUGGUGGAGUGUCAUUUACCCCGGAUUUCAAGUAUGAAGGCCUCCCAUGACAGAUCAAUUUGGGGCCAAAGUGACAUUCAGAAUUGAUGAACUUUGUUCGGUUUAUUUGGGCUGCUCAGCUUACAAAUUGAUGACCAAGCCUAUCAGGACGGUGUUGCCAGGAUGGUUGAGGUGAUGGCUCCUACUAUCCCAGUUCUCCACCAGGCUUGGAGUCAAGUUUGACUUUUGAAAGCCAUCCAGGUUGCUUGCCAACUUGACAAUCCACGCUACCAGAUAAAACAACAAUUAUAGCUUUCAUUGGCCGGAACAUUCUGUCAUAAAGAACUUGAAUGAUCAGUAACCCAAGUUCUCAAGUGCAUUUGCAACCAUUGUGUUCAAUAAUGAGUGUGGAAGGACCAUGUCCAGGUCGCAAUUGAUACUCAGGCCUGGCAGAUCCAAUCCAGGAGCUCCAACUCUAUGUACUAUUCUAUGUAUUGUGUUUUGGAGAGUAGAGCCACAAUAAUUUCCAAACACCAAAGUGAAAAGAUCAGUGAAAGGACAUCAAAGUGCGAAUGAAGUUAUUCCUGAGAAAUUGUGCCAAGCCAAUCAUAAUAAACCCAUCAGACGACGUGGUUCUCUUGGCUGAUUCAGCCGUGGAAUUUCACAAUGCCAUCAAUGCACUCCAUUCCAAGAGAACGGCCUUCAAGUCAAUAACAUCAAGACAAAGGCCAUGGUUUUCCAUAAAGGUUGUCUGCCUCCCACCUCCUUCCAUAUCCACCAUAGUCCAAUUGAAAUCUUCAAUGAUUUUAAUUAUGUCGGUUUCACAUUCUCCACUCAACUUUCCUUCACCAACCAUCUCAAAUCAUCAAUAGCCAAAGCCAGGGCCAGGAUCAGAUACGUACAUGUGCAAUAGACUUCCUAUCAAGAAUCUCCCCCUUCCAAUAGUUCUUCAACUCUUCCAGACCUACAUCACUCCACCUUUGGCUUUCCAACUCCCCCCAAUCCGCCCUCAAAUCCGCCGAUACCACCUUCACCAAGUUCCUCAAACGAUACGUGUGCGUGCCCCAAUAGGCCAAUAAUGCAUGGACGCAUUUUCUAUGAGAAACCGAGCCCCUCACCAUCGGGCUGGCAAGAUUCAAACCAGGGCGGGAAACGGCGUAACUUUCCGCCGAUCCAGUGUAUGAUACGUAUUUAUACAUACAGUUUUAUACAUGCCAAAAGACGGGGAGACGCCCACCGGACGGGAAGACGCCACUGAAUGGAAGAAUCGCCC